Molecule: ribosomal RNA, 93 nt
Filed under: Gloeocystidiellum formosanum
Lineage: Eukaryota; Fungi; Basidiomycota; Agaricomycetes; Russulales; Gloeocystidiellaceae
Description: partial 5.8S ribosomal RNA
Rfam family: 5.8S ribosomal RNA
About the family: 5.8S ribosomal RNA (5.8S rRNA) is a component of the large subunit of the eukaryotic ribosome.
Source: RNAcentral
AUGUGAAUUGCAGAAUUCAGUGAAUCAUCGAAUCUUUGAACGCACCUUGCGCCCUUUGGUAUUCCGAAGGGCACACCUGUUUGAGUGUCGUGA